UUGACAUCCAGCGAACUUGGCAGAGAUGCCUUGGUGCCUUCGGAACGCUGAGACAGGUGCUGCAUGGCUGUCGUCAGCUCGUGUUGUGAAAUGUUGGGUUAAGUCCGCAACGAGCGCAACCCUUAUCCUUUGUUGCCAGCGAUUCGGUCGGGAACUCAAAGGAGACUGCCGGUGAUAAACCGGAGGAAGGUGGGGAUGACGUCAAGUCAUCAUGGCCCUUACGAGUAGGGCUACACACGUGCUACAAUGGCGCAUACAAAGAGAAGCGACCUCGCGAGAGCAAGCGGACCCCAUAAAGUGCGUCGUAGUCCGGAUCGGAGUCUGCAACUCGACUCCGUGAAGUCGGAAUCGCUAGUAAUCGUGGAUCAGAAUGCCACGGUGAAUACGUUCCCGGGCCUUGUACACACCGCCCGUCACACCAUGGGAGUGGGUUGCAAAAGAAGUAGGUAGCUUAACCUUCGGGAGGGCGCUUACCACUUUGUGAUUCAUGACUGGGGUGAAGUCGUAACAAGGUAGGCGUAGCGAG
This 526-nucleotide ribosomal RNA is filed under the name uncultured bacterium. Its description in RNAcentral is "bacterial SSU rRNA". It matches the Rfam family "Bacterial small subunit ribosomal RNA", at positions 981 to 1509 of the family's 1533-position model. The record is from RNAcentral.